Salarias fasciatus (jewelled blenny) is the source of this 1859-nucleotide long non-coding RNA. RefSeq lists it as uncharacterized. The record is from RefSeq and is a predicted model, not a curated record. Lineage: Eukaryota; Metazoa; Chordata; Actinopteri; Blenniiformes; Blenniidae. The transcript has 3 exons.
UAUUUAUUUAAACGUAUUUGUAAUUUUACUUUGAAAAAACAUUAUUUUGGAAAGAGGAAGUGUUGUUUGCUUUCCGUAGCUUCACUCUUCCUGUGUUUUGAUCACAUUGGGUGAUCUUGACCUUCUCAUUCGUCAAGAAUGUCAGUCUCCCUUUUUUUCCACUCAAACAAUGAGGGAGAGGAGUUGUCAGAGGGCACAAGAGCAAAUCACAGGUUAUCCUGUGGAUGGGAGCACAAGCUGUGAGGCCACAAGGCUGUUUCCCCGAUCAUGCGGUUGCAGUAAAACCUCCUCUUGUGGAUGGGAGCACAAACUGUGAGGCCACGAGGCUGUUUCCCCGACCGUGUGUUUGCAGUAAAACUUCAUCUCGGCUAGGUAUUAUAGCUUGAUUAAGAAACCUCCGGAUUGGACGUUGGAACGCUGGAUACCUGGAUUCUUCUCUGGACAGAGAUGGCGAACCAAGCCCAAAGUGAACCAACCUUUGGACCGAGGAGCAUCAGUCUUCUCUCACAACUUCCAACCAAGUGGUAACAACACAACUACCACAACGCCGGGAAAGGAACUGAACUGAGAUAAAUCACGACUAUACGACUACACGACUAAAAAGGAUGAAACAAAACACUAAGCUCAGUAAGGACUUGUGGGGUUUUAUUUUAUUUUAUUUUAUUUUUGAGAUGCCGGCUUAUAGUAAAUUUAGUUAAUUGUAUAUAGUUUUGUUUGCUUGUCUUCCGGAAAUAUUAUACUCGUUCUUGCUCAUUUCUUGCCUCCAGCCAUUUCAUUUCACUCAAACCUCAGUUGUUCCUGUACUCCUGCCGAACCCAGCAACUGGUCUAUAUACUUUCACCUUAUUAACGUCAGUCAGUGGUUACACAAAGCUGACAACAAAGGGAACAAAAAUCUUGACUUUAGAGGUGGGUAAAAAGUUGGAAUGAAACAUCAAAAGCAAAAAUGUCUAAACGAGUAGUCACGGACAAAUGCUUACUACUUGGAAACACUGAUAUGGUUCACAACACAGCAUCAUCUAGUCUGCCACAAUCCACAACUGCCUUUUGUUUUGUUUUUUUGUUUUUUUUUUAAAUACUGUGGCCCCUAAUCUCUGUGCAAUUCGAUAUACAGGAUUUAAACAACUUUAAUCACCAAAAUCAACUCACUUAUCAAUUCAUUACAGAACAGUGCAUAGCACAAUGCUUUAAUUAAGCCAGGCACCCAGAACUCCUUAUUAAGUGUCUUUCAAUUAACUAGAUUUCUCCAACAAAAAACACUCUUCUGAAAUCCUCUUGUCAGAGGUUUUUCAGAAAUGUGAUUUGGUUUCCAUCUUACCUCGAGUCACUGACUGCAAACAUGUACACAUCCAUUGUGACAGCAUCUCUCAUUUUUCUAGCAGUCAUUGCUGUUGGAGAAACCGGCAACCUCACUGCUGGCACAGACGCGCUCAUUCUUCUGAUAGGGAGAGCAAAAAGCAGGUAGGUGUGAAAGGAGAAAUCUUCAUCUUCAGUGAGCUGGAACAGAACAAACUUACAAAUCACAAUAAUGUUCUUCAAUAGAAGUUCAACAAGACGAUUCGGCCAAAGAUAAGAAACAACAAGCUGAAACAAGUAGAACGAUGUAAUUCAAGCUAAAACAGCAAUUUUGUACCUUCAAUUCUAUCUUCAAUCUUAAAGCAAUAGUGCGUAACUUCGGUCGCCCUCUCGUGGAAUUCUGCGUUCUUCCAACAAUAAAGCCGGCUCUUCCACAUGACGUACUCCCAGGUGUCCCCGGUGUCCCCCGCUCCCCCCAACCGCUGCAGGGUGAUUCGCGUUUCCACAGCUCAAGUCACCGUUGGAAAUUGUUUUUAUUCUGUGUGAAUAAGGACAGCUGGUGAA